The sequence is a transfer RNA, 91 nucleotides long. It matches the Rfam family "tRNA". Rfam says of the family: Transfer RNA (tRNA) molecules are approximately 80 nucleotides in length. Their secondary structure includes four short double-helical elements and three loops (D, anti-codon, and T loops). Further hydrogen bonds mediate the characteristic L-shaped molecular structure. tRNAs have two regions of fundamental functional importance: the anti-codon, which is responsible for specific mRNA codon recognition, and the 3' end, to which the tRNAs corresponding amino acid is attached (by aminoacyl-tRNA synthetases). tRNAs cope with the degeneracy of the genetic code in two manners: having more than one tRNA (with a specific anti-codon) for a particular amino acid; and 'wobble' base-pairing, i.e. permitting non-standard base-pairing at the 3rd anti-codon position. The record is from Rfam.
GGCCGGUUGGCCCAAUGGCAAGGCGUCUGACUACGACUAAAAAAUCAAAGUCUCAAUCAGGAGAUUCUGGGUUCGACCCCCAGGCUGGUCA